UACGUAGGGUGCGAGCGUUAAUCGGAUUUACUGGGCGUAAAGCGCACGUAGGCGGUUUUUUAAGUCAGAUGUGAAAGCCCCGGGCUCAACCUGGGAAUUGCGCUUGUGACUGGCGGGCUCGAGUACGGUAGAGGGGGGUGGAAUUCCUGGUGUAGCAGUGAAAUGCGUAGAGAUCAGGAGGAACACCGAUGGCGAAGGCAGCCCCCUGGGCCUGUACUGACGCUCAUGCACGAAAGCGUGGGGAGCAAACAGG
RNAcentral lists this ribosomal RNA (253 nucleotides) under uncultured microorganism. RNAcentral's name for it is "partial 16S ribosomal RNA". It matches the Rfam family "Bacterial small subunit ribosomal RNA", at positions 524 to 776 of the family's 1533-position model. The record is from RNAcentral.